Molecule: transfer RNA, 84 nt
Filed under: Candidatus Hydrothermia bacterium
Lineage: Bacteria; Pseudomonadati; Caldifarciminota; Caldifarciminia
Description: tRNA-Leu
Rfam family: tRNA
About the family: Transfer RNA (tRNA) molecules are approximately 80 nucleotides in length. Their secondary structure includes four short double-helical elements and three loops (D, anti-codon, and T loops).
Source: RNAcentral
GCUCGGGUGGCGAAAUUGGCAAACGCGGUAGGCUCAGAACCUACUGCCCGAUUGGGCUUGCGGGUUCAAGUCCCGCCCCGAGCA